CAGAUCUACCAACCGGCUCGGUGUGUGACAGGUAACCGUCUUUCCACCAAGCUGUUCCAGGCCUGGAGUGGCAGGCUGGAACUUCCAGAGUCUUGUAGACCUGAAGCAGUGUGAUGUGGUCCAGAUCUGACACCCCUAUUAGCUCAACCACAGUCUUCACAGCUGCAGUCGUCUGCCCCUGCUACACCGGCCACGACGCGUGAUAGAGAUCUGCCCCCCCCCCCCUUGAGGAUUCCCACAUGGAUACAGAGCUGCCAUGCACUUCACCACCACUGCCUCACCCAGAAGUACAUACACUGGGCCUAUCAGGACUGACAAAGCAGAGAUGGGUGGCUGGCAAGGGAAAGUAAAACAUGCACUCACACACAUUAUCCACAAUGCAAAUCAGUUGUAAUAACUUGUUUAUUUUAGGUAUGCUCCAUUUUAUUUGAGAAAAAUAUCUGCAAUGUCUUUGGUUUAUUAGAUAUUUCUCUGAAUACAAUGUGUGACCAGAAGGAAGUUAGCAGACCUGCAACCCUUGGACUGUGUGUAGGUUUUGUCAUCUUGUAACGGAAUUCCUCUUCAGAGGAGGAGUAGCAAGGAUCAGACCAAUGUGCAGCAUGGUAAGUGUCCAUAAUGAUAUAUUUAAUAAAUCAACUGAACAAAAUAACAAAAGUACAAACAACCGAAACAGUCCUGCAUGGUGAAACCACUAACACAGUAUACAACCACCCACAAAACACAAUAGAAAACAGGCUACCUAAAUAUGGCUCCCA
This is a long non-coding RNA of Oncorhynchus tshawytscha (Chinook salmon), 755 nucleotides long. RefSeq lists it as uncharacterized. The transcript is spliced from 4 exons. The record is from RefSeq and is a predicted model, not a curated record. NCBI's taxonomy places the organism in Eukaryota, Metazoa, Chordata, Actinopteri, Salmoniformes, Salmonidae.